AAGGUUUGGGCUUGUUCUCAAGAUUAAGCCAUGCAUGUCUAAGUAUAAGCAAUCUAUACUGUGAAACUGCGAAUGGCUCAUUAAAUCAGUUAUCGUUUAUUUGAUAGUACCUUACUACUUGGAUAACCGUGGUAAUUCUAGAGCUAAUACAUGCUAAAAACCCCGACUUCGGAAGGGGUGUAUUUAUUAGAUAAAAAACCAAUGCCCUUCGGGGCUCCUUGGUGAAUCAUGAUAACUUAACGAAUCGCAUGGCCUUGUGCCGGCGAUGGUUCAUUCAAAUUUCUGCCCUAUCAACUUUCGAUUGUAGGAUAGAGGCCUACAAUGGUUUCAACGGGUAACGGGGAAUUAGGGUUCUAUUCCGGAGAGGGAGCCUGAGAAACGGCUACCACAUCCAAGGAAGGCAGCAGGCGCGCAAAUUACCCAAUCCCGAUACGGGGAGGUAGUGACAAUAAAUACUGAUACAGGGCUCUUUUGGGUCUUGUAAUUGGAAUGAGUACAAUUUAAAUCUCUUAACGAGGAACAAUUGGAGGGCAAGUCUGGUGCCAGCAGCCGCGGUAAUUCCAGCUCCAAUAGCGUAUAUUAAAGUUGUUGCAGUUAAAAAGCUCGUAGUUGAACCUUGGGCCUGGCUGGCCGGUCUGCCUCACCGCAUGUACUGGUUCGGCCGGGUCUUUCCUCCUGGGGAUCCGCAUGCCCUUCACUGGGUGUGUUGGGGAACCAGGACUUUUACUUUGAAAAAAUUAGAGUGUUCAAAGCAGGCCUUUGCUCGAAUACAUUAGCAUGGAAUAAUAGAAUAGGACGUGCGGUCCUAUUUUGUUGGUUUCUAGGACCGCCGUAAUGAUUAAUAGGGAUAGUCGGGGGCAUCAGUAUUCAGUUGUCAGAGGUGAAAUUCUUGGAUUUACUGAAGACUAACUUACUGCGAAAGCAUUUGCAAGGAUGUUUUCAUUAAUCAGUGAACGAAGUUAGGGGGAUCGGAGACGAUCAGAUACCGGUCGGUAGUCUUAAACCGGAAACUAUGCCGACUAGGGGAUCGGGGCGAUGUUAUUCCUUUUGAACUCGCUUCGGGCACCCUUAACGAGGAAAAUCAAAGUCUUCGGAGUGAUGUUAUUUCUUUGACUCCGCUCGGCACCUUACGAGAAAUCAAAGUUCUUUGGGUUCUGGGGGAGUAUGGUCGCAGGCUGAAACUAAAGAAAUUGACGGAAAGGGCACCACCAGGCGUAAACCGUUUCUGCCGCAGUUACUCUGCGCCUAAAAGCAGCCCGAAAGGGUGAGGUGGUCGCGUCCUUAAAUGCUAGUCCGCCCCUGCGAGGGGGUGGGCAACACGCUCAAAUUGCGGGAAGUUCCUAAGAGCCCUAGAUACCAAGCCGGCGUCCGAAAGGCGUCGGUGGCCAGGUUAAUUGCCUCGGGUACGGUCAUAACGCUAGGGAUGCAACAAUGGAUAAUCCGCAGCCAAGCCCCUAAACCUCCAGCUCGGAGGCACGGGGAAGGUUCAGAGACUAAAUGGGUGUGGGUCGACGUGCUGUGAGGCGCGCCGGUCUAAGAUAUAGUCCGUCCACCUUGCGAAAGCGGGUGAUUUAGGCUUAUUCCAAACCUUUAACGGGAGCCUGCGGCUUAAUUUGACUCAACACGGGGAAACUCACCAGGUCCAGACACAGUAAGGAUUGACAGAUUGAGAGCUCUUUCUUGAUUUUGUGGGUGGUGGUGCAUGGCCGUUCUUAGUUGGUGGAGUGAUUUGUCUGCUUAAUUGCGAUAACGAACGAGACCUUAACCUGCUAAAUAGCCCGACCCGCUUUGGCGGGCCGCCGGCUUCUUAGAGGGACUAUCGGCUCAAGCCGAUGGAAGUUUGAGGCAAUAACAGGUCUGUUAUGCCCUUAGAUGUUCUGGGCCGCACGCGCGCUACACUGACAGAGCCAACGAGUUUACUACCUUGGCCGGAAGGUCUGGGUAAUCUUGUUAAACUCUGUCGUGCUGGGGAUAGAGCAUUGCAAUUAUUGCUCUUCAACGAGGAAUGCCUAGUAAGCGCAUGUCAUCAGCAUGCGUUGAUUACGUCCCUGCCCUUUGUACACACCGCCCGUCGCUACUACCGAUUGAAUGGCUCAGUGAGGCCUUCGGACUGGCUCAGGGAGGUCGGCAACGACCACCCAGAGCCGGAAAGUCCGUCAAACUGCCGUUCAUAUGAAGU
RNAcentral lists this ribosomal RNA (2179 nucleotides) under Lasiodiplodia sp. JAS12. RNAcentral's name for it is "SSU rRNA". It matches the Rfam family "Eukaryotic small subunit ribosomal RNA". The record is from RNAcentral. Lineage: Eukaryota; Fungi; Ascomycota; Dothideomycetes; Botryosphaeriales; Botryosphaeriaceae.